GGGGGUGUUCCGGUUUCGACUGGCAUAGAUCAGGCUGAUGGCUGCAAGCAGAGCGCCAACUCUAAAAACUAGCAAAAAACAAUUAACUGCUAAAAAAGACGAAGAAUACUUCGAAACUGCAGAAUACGCUUUAGCUGCUUAAUAGCGCUUUAGUGUACAGGUCCACUUGGUGCCGCUCUUAACCAUUUGAAACCUGUAAUAAUAGGGGCUUACCCGUAUAGUUGUUAGUGAUAUACAGGGACAUUAAAGCUAACUUGGUUGGGACAACGUUUGUCAAUGUACAGCGUUCCUUCGACAAAAUGAUCAUUGACUAAGCUUGUAGAUGUCGUUGGGUGGCAUGUUAGGACGGGGGUUCGAAUCCCCCCACCUCCAUUU
This 375-nucleotide transfer-messenger RNA is filed under the name Spirochaetaceae bacterium. It matches the Rfam family "transfer-messenger RNA". Rfam says of the family: Bacterial tmRNA, also known as 10Sa RNA or SsrA, is named for its dual tRNA and mRNA-like properties. Its role is to liberate the mRNA from a stalled ribosome. Lineage: Bacteria; Pseudomonadati; Spirochaetota; Spirochaetia; Spirochaetales; Spirochaetaceae. RNAcentral also lists the same sequence under 1 other name. The record is from RNAcentral.